Molecule: long non-coding RNA, 561 nt
Filed under: Nicotiana benthamiana
Lineage: Eukaryota; Viridiplantae; Streptophyta; Magnoliopsida; Solanales; Solanaceae
Description: long non-coding RNA (NBEN_LNC020887)
Source: RNAcentral
ACGAGACAGUUCUCUCUUCAACUCAUAUAUUUUGGACCUAUUGGCAGUCCCAUACCUAGUUUAGAGUUGGGUCCAAAUACCCUGUGCAGUAUCAGUAUACUAUACAGACUCAGCAAUAGAAGGGGAAAGGGAGGCAAUCAACCAGGAGAUCACCAUAUUAUUGCACCUAUCCCAUAACCUCUGUUGAGGAACAUUGGUAGUGGGACGGGCAUAGGUGCCAUCAACAAAGCUGAUUUUAUUUUUAGCCGACAAGGCAACAAGAAUUUUUCGUCUCCAACCUCCAUAACCAGUACCCGAAAAUGGGAUGGGGACAAGAGGUACCCCAGGGAGAUCAGAUGAAUACAGAAAAAGUGGACUAGAGGAAUCCACAGUAUUAGAACCACCAGUACUUGUGCUAGAAGCCAUAAUAAAACCGGCUUAGACAAAAAACUUGUCAACAAACAGCAGAACAAGUGUACAAACUCAAUAACCAACAGAUGAACAACAAUCAGGUCAAGAUAUCAAAAAUACCACCAGAUAUUCACAAUUACAAAGUCAGAUAAGCACACAUAAAUCGAGAAG